UUAUAAAUAAGUUUAGUCUGGAUUCUGGGUCCAGACCGUCCUCCGGCCCAGACAUGUGGUCCACUUCACAACCAGCCGUCAGACACAAUGACAGGAAAUGAAGGAGUUGUUACCGGAGCAGUCGGCCUGCCGGGCGAUGGUUCCCUCCGGGCAGCGGGUCAGACAUUUGCCUUUGUGCAGCUGGAAGCCCACUUUACACUUUGUGCAGAAGUCCCGGCUGAAGCAGUGCUCGCAGUCUGAGGAGCGGCACUCUGAGGGGAGAAACGGAUCACAUCAGCUCAACGAGCCAGGCUGGAAAUCUCAAACAACAUCGCUGCUUCUAAAGUACGACAGGCCUCAUCAGCCGGUUCUGACAAGACCGGUCCAGAAGUGAAAACUGGGCCGGAGCCAGGAGAGAGCUGAACUCUGCACAAACUGAAGCUUCGGCUCUGAUCCUGACGAGUUCUGCAGGAACUGGGUCGGGCUCGUACUCACCGCUCUGCUUCUGCAGGACGCCGGACCCCACCCGGACCACCUCACACAAAAAGGACAUCACAAACGCCAAGAGUCUCAGAUGCAUCUGGGCUGCUGGCAAGCGCCCGCUUCAGCGCCGGGCUGCGGACAUCUGCGGGGUCUCUCCAGCAGGGCCGGGGAUGAGGAUGGAGACGGGACGGUCUUCUCGAGCUCCAGAGAUGGUUUGGUUCUGAUGCGAGGAGACAGGAGCUCGUAGCGCCGAGCUGCUUCCUGACACUGGCAGAUUUCGGGGGGAAAGCUCAACGUUUAACUGUCAAAAUUGCGAUAAACGAGCUCCACUUAUCCCCUCGCCAUCUUUAACCCUUUCCAGGGCGAGUGCUCGGGGCCUUAAGUGGUUCCACAUUUCACCCUCCUCCUCCUCCUCCUCCUCCUCCUCCUCCUCCUGCUCCUCCUGCCUCUACCUAUUGUUUUUCACUCUCUUAGUCGUAGUUUUGCUGUUUGCACUUGGCAGCUUUGUUUGCUGUGAUCCCAUGAACUGUGAGCAGACAGUGGAGCUAAUUUGACCUCCAGGAAAGACGAGCAGCUGCAGAGGCCGGCCUUUAAUGGAAGCCUGUUGUGUUGCUCCAGCUGAUUUGUUGCGCUUUUUUUAGGUCAACAUUAAAGAAAAAAUCCUCCCGUUGGUUAAAGCUCUGUCAAACUUUAACAUUUUAAACAACUAAUAAACAUUUCUUUAUGAUUAAA
This is a long non-coding RNA of Austrofundulus limnaeus, 1194 nucleotides long. RefSeq lists it as uncharacterized. The transcript is spliced from 4 exons. Lineage: Eukaryota; Metazoa; Chordata; Actinopteri; Cyprinodontiformes; Rivulidae. The record is from RefSeq and is a predicted model, not a curated record.